Molecule: unclassified non-coding RNA, 147 nt
Filed under: uncultured fungus
Lineage: Eukaryota; Fungi
Description: sequence contains ITS1
Source: RNAcentral
GUGAAUUGGGCCCCCGUGGUCCUUAUUCCAAUCCCACACCUUUUGUGCACUUGUUUCCAGGGAGCUUUGGCGUUGUGGCUUUAGCCCCCGCCAUUGUUCUUUACCAAACGUUGAAUCAGUUAGAAAGGUUGCCUUCGAAUAGGACAA